ACGCUCGACACCUACGGGAGACAGCAGUGGGGAAUAUUGCACAAUGGGGGAAACCCUGAUGCAGCGAUGCCGCGUGAAGGAAGAAGUAUCUCGGUAUGUAAACUUCUAUCAGCAGGGAAGAAAAUGACGGUACCUGACUAAGAAGCCCCGGCUAACUACGUGUCAGCAGCCGCGGUAAUCUGAGCGGGCUGGCAAGGC
RNAcentral lists this ribosomal RNA (198 nucleotides) under uncultured bacterium. Its description in RNAcentral is "partial 16S ribosomal RNA". It matches the Rfam family "Bacterial small subunit ribosomal RNA", at positions 328 to 539 of the family's 1533-position model. The record is from RNAcentral.